This 1489-nucleotide ribosomal RNA is filed under the name Rothia dentocariosa. RNAcentral's name for it is "bacterial SSU rRNA". It matches the Rfam family "Bacterial small subunit ribosomal RNA". Lineage: Bacteria; Bacillati; Actinomycetota; Actinomycetes; Micrococcales; Micrococcaceae. The record is from RNAcentral.
AGAGUUUGAUCCUGGCUCAGACGAACGCUGGCGGCGUGCUUAACACAUGCAAGUCGAACGAUGAAGCCUAGCUUGCUAGGUGGAUUAGUGGCGAACGGGUGAGUAAUACGUGAGUGACCUACCUUUGACUCUGGGAUAAGCCUGGGAAACUGGGUCUAAUACCGGAUACGACCAAUCUCCGCAUGGGGUGUUGGUGGAAAGCGUUAUGGAGUGGUUUUAGAUGGGCUCACGGCCUAUCAGCUUGUUGGUGAGGUAAUGGCUUACCAAGGCGACGACGGGUAGCCGGCCUGAGAGGGUGACCGGCCACACUGGGACUGAGACACGGCCCAGACUCCUACGGGAGGCAGCAGUGGGGAAUAUUGCACAAUGGGCGCAAGCCUGAUGCAGCGACGCCGCGUGAGGGAUGACGGCCUUCGGGUUGUAAACCUCUGUUAGCAUCGAAGAAGCGAAAGUGACGGUAGGUGCAGAGAAAGCGCCGGCUAACUACGUGCCAGCAGCCGUGGUAAUACGUAGGGCGCGAGCGUUGUCCGGAAUUAUUGGGCGUAAAGAGCUUGUAGGCGGUUGGUCGCGUCUGCUGUGAAAGGCUGGGGCUUAACCCUGGUUUUGCAGUGGGUACGGGCUAACUAGAGUGCAGUAGGGGAGACUGGAAUUCCUGGUGUAGCGGUGGAAUGCGCAGAUAUCAGGAGGAACACCGAUGGCGAAGGCAGGUCUCUGGGCUGUAACUGACGCUGAGAAGCGAAAGCAUGGGGAGCGAACAGGAUUAGAUACCCUGGUAGUCCAUGCCGUAAACGUUGGGCACUAGGUGUGGGGGACAUUCCACGUUUUCCGCGCCGUAGCUAACGCAUUAAGUGCCCCGCCUGGGGAGUACGGCCGCAAGGCUAAAACUCAAAGAAAUUGACGGGGGCCCGCACAAGCGGCGGAGCAUGCGGAUUAAUUCGAUGCAACGCGAAGAAACCUUACCAAGGCUUGACAUAUACUGGACUGCGUCAGGAGAUGGCGUUUCCUUUCGGGGCUGGUAUACAGGUGGUGCAUGGUUGUCGUCAGCUCGUGUCGUGAGAUGUUGGGUUAAGUCCCGCAACGAGCGCAACCCUCGUUCUAUGUUGCCAGCACGUGAUGGUGGGGACUCAUAGGAGACUGCCGGGGUCAACUCGGAGGAAGGUGGGGAUGACGUCAAAUCAUCAUGCCCCUUAUGUCUUGGGCUUCACGCAUGCUACAAUGGCCGGUACAGAGGGUUGCGAUACUGUGAGGUGGAGCUAAUCCCUAAAAGCCGGUCUCAGUUCGGAUUGGGGUCUGCAACUCGACCCCAUGAAGUCGGAGUCGCUAGUAAUCGCAGAUCAGCAACGCUGCGGUGAAUACGUUCCCGGGCCUUGUACACACCGCCCGUCAAGUCACGAAAGUUGGUAACACCCGAAGCCGGUGGCCUAACCCUGGUGGGGGGAGCCGUCGAAGGUGGGACUGGCGAUUGGGACUAAGUCGUAACAAGGUAACC